This 497-nucleotide ribosomal RNA is filed under the name uncultured bacterium. Its description in RNAcentral is "partial 16S ribosomal RNA". It matches the Rfam family "Bacterial small subunit ribosomal RNA", at positions 28 to 507 of the family's 1533-position model. The record is from RNAcentral.
GAUGAACGCUGGCGGCGUGCCUAAUACAUGCAAGUCGAGCGAACAGACGAGGAGCUUGCUCCUCUGACGUUAGCGGCGGACGGGUGAGUAACACGUGGAUAACCUACCUAUAAGACUGGGAAAACUUCGGGAAACCGGAGCUAAUACCGGAUAAUAUAUUGAACCGCAUGGUUCAAUAGUGAAAGACGGUUUUGCUGUCACUUAUAGAUGGAUCCGCGCCGCAUUAGCUAGUUGGUAAGGUAACGGCUUACCAAGGCAACGAUGCGUAGCCGACCUGAGAGGGUGAUCGGCCACACUGGAACUGAGACACGGUCCAGACUCCUACGGGAGGCAGCAGUAGGGAAUCUUCCGCAAUGGGCGAAAGCUUGACGGAGCAACGCCGCGUGAGUGAUGAAGGUCUUCGGAUCGUAAAACUCUGUUAUUAGGGAAGAACAAAUGUGUAAGUAACUAUGCACGUCUUGACGGUACCUAAUCAGAAAGCCACGGCUAACUACGUG